Molecule: ribosomal RNA, 413 nt
Filed under: Lacticaseibacillus rhamnosus
Lineage: Bacteria; Bacillati; Bacillota; Bacilli; Lactobacillales; Lactobacillaceae
Description: bacterial SSU rRNA
Rfam family: Bacterial small subunit ribosomal RNA
Source: RNAcentral
GUCAACAGUUCUGAUUUUGAAAGGUGCUUGAUCUUGAUUUAUUUUGAACGAGUGGCGGACGGGUGAGUAACACGUGGGUAACCUGCCCUUAAGUGGGGGAUAACAUUUGGAAACAGAUGCUAAUACCGCAUAAAUCCAAGAACCGCAUGGUUCUUGGCUGAAAGAUGGCGUAAGCUAUCGCUUUUGGAUGGACCCGCGGCGUAUUAGCUAGUUGGUGAGGUAACGGCUCACCAAGGCAAUGAUACGUAGCCGAACUUGAGAGGUUGAUCGGCCACAUUGGGACUGAGACACGGCCCAAACUCCUACGGGAGGCAGCAGUAGGGAAUCUUCCACAAUGGACGCAAGUCUGAUGGAGCAACCGCCGCGUGAGUGGAAGAAGGCUUUCGGGUCGUAAAACUCUGUUGUUGGAAGAA